UGAGGAAUAUUGGUCAAUGGACGCAAGUCUGAACCAGCCAAGUAGCGUGCAGGAUGACGGCCCUAUGGGUUGUAAACUGCUUUUAUAUGGGGAUAAAGUGGGGAACGUGUUCCCUUUUGCAGGUACCAUAUGAAUAAGGACCGGCUAAUUCCGUGCCAGCAGCCGCGGUAAUACGGAAGGUUCGGGCGUUAUCCGGAUUUAUUGGGCUUAAAGGGCAUCUAGGCGGUAAGACAAGUUGAAGGUGAAAACCUGUGGCUCAACCAUAGGCUUGCCUACAAAACUGUUGAACUAGAGUACUGGAAAGGUGGGUGGAACUACACGAGUAGAGGUGAAAUUCGUAGAUAUGUGUAGGAAUGCCGAUGAUGAAGAUAACUCACUGGACAGAAACUGACGCUGAAGUGCGAAAGCUAGGGGAGCAAACAGG
This 424-nucleotide ribosomal RNA is filed under the name Verrucomicrobiota bacterium. Its description in RNAcentral is "Verrucomicrobia bacterium partial 16S ribosomal RNA". It matches the Rfam family "Bacterial small subunit ribosomal RNA", at positions 355 to 776 of the family's 1533-position model. Lineage: Bacteria; Pseudomonadati; Verrucomicrobiota. The record is from RNAcentral.